Long non-coding RNA from Anolis carolinensis (green anole), 10416 nucleotides. RefSeq lists it as uncharacterized. The record is from RefSeq and is a predicted model, not a curated record. The transcript is spliced from 3 exons. Lineage: Eukaryota; Metazoa; Chordata; Lepidosauria; Squamata; Anolidae.
ACAAGCCAGUCCCUUUCUGCAGAAUUGCCCCCAGUGGAGGAGGCAUAUUGUUCAAGAGCAGCUAUUGUUUCUGUGCGUUGAGGAUACAAAUAGCAGUGAGAAUCAGAAGCAAAGGAAAGCACUUGCUUGACACGUACACAUUAUCUUUCUGCAGUGGCAGGAUUGCAUGAACAUCUGAGGCAGCAUUACUGGUAAGGACUCCCAAGAUUUUACUAAGGAGUCAGGUUAAAUGUGAUGAGCAACUACUGGGCAGCACUUGUAGUGUGGGGUGACGGUAAAGGAUCUCUCAACGAUAACAGCAGUGGCACCAUGGCUAACUAGUACUGUGAAGAAGAAGCAUGAUAAACUCCUUUUGAAUGUCUUUUGCCAGGUAAGCUUCAUGAUGAAAUAAUCCAAAAUGAAACAAGAGAUAAUGCCAGAAGAUGAGUUUCCCAGGUUGGAUGGGCACUCAACUAGCUACUGGGAUACAGUACAGGAUAACUAUGAGUAGUAGUACUGUUGCUAAUGUCACAGCUGGACAUUCAGUUACUGGCAUGCUCAGAGGUGAGAGGAGAAGCUGCACACAUAUUAUAGGAACAUGGGAUAUGAGAAAUAUUAAUUCAGGGAAGCUAGACAUAGAGAAACACAAAUGGAACAUAUAAACAUUGCAAUACUUGGGGGUGAGUGAACUAAGUGGACAGGAAUGGACGUUUUGAAUUAGAUAAUAGUACAAUGUUUUACUCAGAAAACGAAAAACCAGUUGUCAUUUAUAGUGAAGAGAGAUAUAGCAAAAGAGUCAAAAGAUAUAAUGCAAAGUCUGGCCAAAUAAUAUCAAUUAGACUUCAGGGAAAACCCAUCAAUAUAAUUAUAAUCAAGUCUAUGUCCCAACUACAGAGAAAGAGGAGGAGGGGGAUAAAGGAAGAAUAAAAAGUUAUAUGCUGGAGUCCAGAAGGAAAUUCACCACAGACCAAAUCAGGAUUUGUUGUAAAUCAUAGGUGACUGGAAUGCAAAAACAGGAACCAGAGCAAAAUCAAAGAUUUCAGGAAAGUUUGGCUUAAGACAAAGAAAUGAAGCACUGAUAACAUUUUACUAGGCCAACAUCCCUAUUCAAUUUAAAAAAUAGAUUUGCACUAUUAAGCCUAAUUUAAUGGACUAAUGAAACUCUUUAAGCAAUUAAGGACAGACAAAAGGCAAAAAAAGGAAAAAAAAUGUCAAAAGAUGAAAACCUGAAUGCUAUGCUUCAGCAGGGAAAAAAUGCCCAGAAUUUAAGAUAUGCAGAUGAUAUCAUAUUCAUAGCAGAAAUUUUCAAAGAUGUUAAAUGAUUACUGAAGAAUGUCAAAGAACACAUUUGCAGAUGAAGAUUAAGAAAACAAAAAUAAGUGCUACAGAUGAUUUACAUGAUUUUAAAGUAGAAGAUGAAGACAUUGCAACAUUUCAAGGCUUUGCAUAUUUUGUUUUAGUGAUAGAUCAAAACAGAGACUAGAAUUUGGAAGGACCACUAUUAAGAUCCUGAAAUGGAUCUUGAUCCUUAAAUGUAAAAAUACAAACUGAGGAUUCCUCAUCUAGUGUUCCAAACUCUGUGGCCCUAAAUGUUUUAAGACUUGAGCAGGGCUGGUGGUGAUAGGGUGACUUGGAGGUCUCUCAUUUAUAGGGUCACCAUAAAUUGAAGUUGACUUCACAACAGUCAACUGCAACAAGAUCUACUUUAGAUUUGAAUAUCAAUGGAAACACUGAUAAUAUUAAAUAAAUAUGUGUAUGAUUUUAAUAAACUGUAAGAGGUAAUAGCCCCUAGUAAGUUAUUAUAUGAAAGAAAUGUCACCCCGUUUUCUGCUAUAUUCAGUGACUUAAAAUAUACAUAUAAAAGGCAUAAAAUUAAAAGCAGGACUUGGAAAAGUUACUUUUUGGCCAACUACUUGCAAAAUCUCCCAAUCAGACUGGUCUCUAGACAUGUGAUUUUCUAAGCUCUAAAACAGUUUCAUGCUGGAAAAUCCAUGAUAAAUAUCUCAAUGAAACGUUUGAGACUUGCUGCAUCAGAGCUCCCCCUAGCUUCUGUAUGCAGAUAUCCUUUUAAAAUGCAAGCUGCCAUAUUUUUUUCCACAAUGCAAGCUACUUUUGAUUAGACUAUUCAUAGCCUUUCCACAUCCAACUGCACAUGUUGUUUUAGUAUGAUUCACAGAGUGGUUUUUUGUUUUGAUGUGGCUGAGCAUUCAAUAGCUUUGUUGUCUGCUAAAAGAAUUUAAAAAGACUCAAGUUUAAUUGAUAUGCAGCACUAGUUUUUAAACAUCUGAAACAAAAUCUACAUCUUACAGUUCUGUCAUGCUUAAGCCUAGUUCUGAACCCCUAACUUCAGCUGUAGAAUCAGAGCUAAAGCAAGAGCCAAAGUUCACUUUCAAUUUUAAUUGUGUUAGUAAUAGAGAAAGAGGAAAUAAUAAAGAAAUAAUACAAAGACUGUAAAACAUUUUGACAAAAGAUGCACGUGCUAUAGAAUUAUCCAUACAUAAGAUCUAACUAGCUAAAAUCAGUCAAGCUGGAAAUUUUCUAAUGAACAUGGGCAAGUUAAUUAUUUUUAAAACCAUGCUGGCAUUUCAGCAUGGACUGAAUUUCAGAAACAAUUUAUUAAGUAAAUUAUUAAUCAAUUAUAGCUGAAAAAGUGCUAAACAGUCAUCAGCAUUUACAUUUCACCGGUACUUUACUCAAAAUAUAGUUAUUUUUGAAAAUCUGAUUUUUUGGGCAAUUUACAAUGCUUGAGACAUAGGUUCCAAACCACUUACUUUAAUGAUUACGGUAUGAUAGUUUAUUCAAUUCCAAGGUCAAAAGAUUUCAAACCAACAAUUAGGAAGUGCAGGUUUGCUCCUAAAGUAUUGUGUUCUACAUGUGACCAUGCAUAGAGGCUCUUUAUCUGGCUGAGGAAAUUGCUUUUGGAAGCUCUUAAACCUAGGAUUUGUCACCCACAACUAGCAUCUAUUAUUUUGUAAAAUGAAGAAAAACUAGGGUUAGGAGAUUAUAAGGGAGGAAAAAAACAGAAAGAAAAAGAGUUUUUUGUGGGAUGAAUGAGUAAAUAGUUCUUCAAAAAUUAUGCAGCUGUUUCCUUCUCUCUUAUGCUCAAAACAAGGGGUGAAAAAGAGGAGGGCAAAGAUAAAAUCAUAGAUGCCAUUUUUUAGAUUUAUUGUGGUAUAGGUUUUAGUGCAACGAUUCUACAUCAAUUUCAUAGCUACAUUUCUCUUCAACACAAAUGCAAUUUACCGGUACUUAUUUUCAUUAAUCAUACAUUAAAAAAUUAAAUAACAUUGGCCCUUUUCAAGCUUUCUCCCUCUUAUAUCACAAACACAGCAAUUAAAAGGCAAAAGAAAGUACCCCAAUUUUAAUAAAUUGAUGAAUUCCUAAUAUGUAUAGCACUCUGUGUGUAACACACACACACACAAACACACCUGCAUAAUAAAAAAAAACCCUGGAGUUUAGUUUUCAGUUGAGUUGCAGACCUUAGUCUCACCUGAAAAAAACCUCCUAUACUUAAAGAAACCUUACCAUCUUCAGGCUGAGACUCUUUAUCUGUAAAUCCAAAAUCCGAAAUACUCCAAAACCAGAAACAUAUUUGCUGCCACCUUCCCACCUGUUUGCCUUUGGGGAAAGGGGCUAUCACAUGUCCAGUGGGGUUACACAAGUUGGCUGUAAAAACAGAUUGAUCCCAAAUUGCUUCUGCACUGACCUUCUGGGAACACUGAAUAUGGGCAGUGAGGUUGAAUGCGGAGUGCCCCCAUUGGCUUCUGCCAGUCUUCUCCCCAGAGCGAGUGAAAGAAUAAGCAGAGGGUGAAUUUUCUUUCCCUUCCUGACUACUUUGCUAAAACGGCAGAAAUAUGAUGACAACCAAGGAAAUGUUUGUGAUGUCUUCUUUUUACAGGGGCUUUGUGUUAAUGGAGUCUUCCUCCGCCCUCCUUGAACAACAAUUUAGCAGGCUCUGGAUGUGUGGCUAUCCUUCUUUCCCCCCAUCCCCACUCACACUAUGAAUAUGUAAAUAUAGGUAUGGAAAGAUAAUUUUAAAAAACCCAAAAUCUGAAAAAUGUAUAAUACAAAGCAUUGUGGAUAAGGGAGACUCAAUCUGUAUUUCCAGCUAUGCAUUGUAGGGAAUAUUACUCCUUGCUGUGGUGCUCCUGAAACAUGGUCUGGGAUAGUUUGUUCUUUAAUAAUGAUUUGAAUGUCCCAGGAAUUGGUCAGGGUUGAAAGUUGUCCUCAAGCAGAAAUCCAGAUAAUUAAGAAAUUUUCAAGGAAACUGAAAUGAAUGAUUUUGUAUUAUCGGAGCAUCAUUUGCUUUCUAUGUACUAUGGACAUUGGUGAAAGAGGCAUGUCUGAAAUAGGAGAGUCACCCAGCUUUCUAAUUUUAUUUUUAGAAAACACAUAUUAAAUCCUAUUUGUUGACAAAUUCACUCAUGCACAGCUGAUAGCAGAUUAUGUUGUCACAAAUGGAAACUUAAGCAAUAUCAGAGAACAGGGUGGCUUUGAUCCCUGUUCUCACCCUCAGCUCCUGGUAGAACAUUUCCUUUUAAUUUCAUGAAGCAAUUAAUUUGUCUGCUUACUUUGCCCUCACUUAGAGGACCUUUUCAGCAGCCACCCCAAGACUGUGGAAUGACCUGCCAGAAGAGCUCCAAAAGCUAAAUUAGCUGUUGGAAUUUUAAAACCAUCUAAACCUAUCUCUUCUGGCAGGCCUACCCAGCCAGUUUUAAUCACAAUUUUAAAACUUGUUUCUUAUGUUUAAUUUUUGUUCUGUGUAUUUUAGUAUGUAUUUUGUAGAUUUCUAAUAUGUGUAUUUUGUAGAACGUUUAAGAUGAUUGAGUGUGUCUUAGCAUGUUCUAACCUGUUCUAGCCACAAGGAGAGGUGGGUAAGAAGGAAAUUAUUAUUAUUAUUAUUAUUAUUAUUAUUAUUAUUAUUAUUUCCUUGCAAGUUAAUUAGGAAAGCAAAUUCUGCCAUUUCCAAUGGUGAAGCCCAAGAUGCAUGCUUUUCAAGAUAUCCAGUUUCCAUUUCGCAAGCAAAUUCAGCUUUCCUGAUAGAUGAAAAUGCUGUUUUUAAAGACGUAAUGGUUACUAGUGAAAAUUAUUUUACAUGCUUACUGUGAACAAAUCUAGAAAUUAUCCAGUGGAUUGGAAAAUGUUUAAAAAGUCAAAGAACUCGGCAAUAGAUUCUGUCUGCCCUAUCUGGGAAUAGAACUCUAAAUGCAUUGUCCUUUUUAUAAAAAAACUAACAAAACAAAACAACAAAAGAUACAAUUAACCGUAAGAACAGAUAGGCUGAUUAGUAUUUCCUUUAUGUACUUGUAAAUUGGCACCCAGAAUCAAUGCUGUGAACCUUUUUCUUACAGGUCAGGUACUUGCGUUCUUGUCUCAUCAUGUACAAACAAUAUUAUAAUCAGAUUAAAAGAUUUUAGAAAUUUGUGUGUGUAAAAGACAGAGAUUACAGUUCUCUAUUUGUCUAUCCUGAGAGUAAUGGUUGAGGAAAAGAUAGCAAGUCACAAUAAGAUAAAUUCUUACUCUCUCUCUGAAAUACUGGCAGCUAAAAAAGCAAAAAAUUUAAAUAUAUGCCAGCCUCCGCAAAACAGAACCAAACCAAACCAAAGCUACCUCAUAAUGCUGAUGUAUGCACACUGGAAGAGGAGCAUUAAUGUCCCUUGUAAUACAUCUGUUUAAAAUCUAACAAGAGGAAUGCUGCACUGAUAAUGCUGUUUGUGGAAACCAUGUGAAUUUUGUAAUUCAUACAUAUGCAUUGACAUGGUAUGCAAACUAUCUGGGUACAUGUUUUUUUUCUUCUUAAAAAUCUCUUUGGUAUGAAAGACAAUAGUGGAAUAAUGGCAAGAAGUAUUGAAGGGAAAGUACAAUAUUGCAAUUAGAAACCUUUUGCAAGGUAAAAAGUAGAUGAAAGCAUAAUAAACCAAGAAUGGAUUUAGGUGAAUGAAAUGUAAAAAAAAACUUGAUUACAUUACAUGAUCUUGUUUUCAAGGUGCAUUUUUUCUCAAGCUGCAUAAGGACAUCUCAUAUAGUCAUUUCCAUUUUCUUCAAGAACAUUAUGGACACAGUAAAACAUUGUGGGACUAUUACUAUUACACACAAAAUAUGCCUUGUUUCAUAAAUCAAUAUAGUAGAUAUGUAAUUAACACGAUGAAGCAAAACAUCUCUUGAAAACUGAAGAAACAUGAUUCUGGCCAGUGUAUUUGGAAUUUCUUAUAAAAUCUGGGGGAAAAAACCUGUCAAGGUACAGAUACCACGAAGUCAGCCCCCAGUACAAAGUAACAAUAGUUUAAUGAAGAAACAGCUUAAAAGAAUCAAAAAUGCUUAAGAGCAGCAAAACAGUAUUCAAAAACAAACACAGACCAAAAAGGAGGCAAAACAGAGUCCCAAAGUGCUAAAAAAUCCCAACCCACUAACCAAAAUACCCGGCAGAGGUAUUCGCUGUUGUUUCAGCGAACACGUUCCAAAAUGAAGUAAAGUCGUAGUCAAGCCGGUCCAGGGGUCAUCCACAGCAAACAGGAUACAGCAGCAGCGUCAACGUCCAAUCCAAAGUCAGGGCACAAGAGCAAACACGAUGUCCAGAAGUGAUCUGAGGUCCAAAUCAAGAACAGUAGCAAAUCUCAAAGAAUCCACAAAGUUCAGGAAUCACGACCCAGCAUAACAUGCAACCCAGCAAACACUUUGCCAGUCGCAAGGUCCCUAUUGCAACCAGCCCUCCUUUUAUUACAAACCUUCCUCUUGAGUUGCAAUCAGCCAACGCCCCACCCUCAGCUGCUCCUGCAUUCUCCUCCAAACUAGAAUCAAACAAAACCCCACGCUCAGCUGCCAGUUGUGCUGCCCGAGCUGCUCUUUGCCUUGCCUGCCAAGCGGCCCUUCUCUUGCUUCUACUUACAUCCUCCAAACAUCAGACAAAUCAUCUUCCCUCCAAGUUUCAUUCCCAACAGAUCUUCUGAAUGUGCCACUACUUGUAGGCUCCUCACCCACUUCUGCUACUUUUGUCCAAUCCAUCUCAUCCACAACCUCAUCAGUGUCACUCCCAGCACUUCUCAUAGAAACUGCUUCAUUGUCAAACCCAGCAUCCCCAUCAAACCCUUCAAAAGACUCUUCAUCAGUGGGUUCAGUAAGUAUUUGCCGAAUCCUCUCCUGCUGUUGCUCUUCUAUAGGAUCUUGUUCCCGAGUAGACCUUUCUGCCUGCUUACUCUCCAACUCCCUGUUGUUACUACUACUCAGAGACUCAUCCACAACAAAACCAGUGCUCCAUUUCCAUGAAGUACUAAAAUUCAGGCCUGUACUAAAAGGCUGAUUUGAAAAUAUUAUAAAUAUUAUAUUCUGAAAUCGACUUGAACAUUUACUAAUUUACCAUACUAUUUAUUUGCUAAUUAGCACAUGGACUAGAAGUCAUUAGAGCUAUAUAUAACAAAGCUGUACAGAUGCAGAUGUAUGGUAUUCUUUAUUUUAAUUUGAAAUUGUAAAUUGUACAUAUUACUUUACAUUUCACGUGCAUUUAAGAUCACAUAAGAGGGGGAAAAGAAGGGUCAAGGAGAAUGAGGAUUGAGGAAACAUGUAGCAGAAAUUGCACACUGGAAAUUACCAGGCAGGCAUAUAACUCUCUGCGUAUCUCUGAACUCGAUGCAAACCAGAAUCUUUAGUAUAUCCAUGCUAGUUAGUGACAGUUCCAUACACACCAGCCAGAGAAAGAAGAGGGAGUGGAAUAUACAGAUGUAGUAAUCUGACUGCACAGUAUAGUGACUCAGAGGUUCUCUGUUAUCUUGAAGAUGGACUACUAGACCCAGAAGUCUGACAACAGAACUGAUGUAGAACAUUAUCUUCCCUGCCAAGGAGGGGAAAAAGAGACAGAGGAACAGAAUCAUAAAGGGACACUGUUAAGAUAAUAAACAUAUGAAAACAAUACAGACCAUUGUAAGUAGCACAUCUUUAAAUUCAUGGCUACACAUUCAAAUACAUUUAUAAACUAUGAGAUUAAUUUCAGCAGUAUAUCAUCUGGAUUCUGAGAUAGCUUUGAGUAUGAAACCUUCCACCUUUUCAUUGGAAGGAUGUUAUUCUUACUUUAAUCACUUUACAAGCAUUUUGUUUCUAAUUUUGAAAAAUAACUUUAAAUUAGAGCUUUUCUAUAGUUUGAGUUUCACCAAGACCAAUAUGGUUGCACUUGCUUUACAAAAAUAUAGGUAAGCGAACACUCUUCCAGUGUCUCCUGAGUUGUCAACAUCACAAAUGAUGCUCCAAAUCAGAAGCUAAACAACUCACAUUACAAGAGCAAUCUGGAAUACCUACAUCUGUUAAGCUACAUUGUUUUCUAUGGUGGAUGGGAAGGAUGCUGACCUAGCAGGAAGCUUGCAUGAAGUCACUUCUUUAUCAGUACCAACACCAAUGGCCAUUUCCUUUAAUUAAACAGCUAAAGAAGAAGGAUGGAAAUGAAUAUGAUAAAGAAAGGAAAAUACUUAAAGCUCAAUACAAUACUGCCUUGAUGCCAUUUGUCUAGUGUUAUAAAAUAUAAACUGCAAACACACAAAGUUUUUUCCUCUAGAUCACAAAUGUUUUAGAAUUAGAAAAAAAACCCACUUGGCGAUUUGACUACUUCAACAAAGUUUUUACAUAAUAUACAUUAAUCAUGUCUAAUAUUAAUAUUUUUAUUUUAUGUAUCACUUGAUGAUAAUUUGCUGUUUAAAUGAUUGCAAUACACAGCAACAAUAACAAGAAAGUAGGUUUAUUUUACACUUCACAUAUAUUCAAGGUGGACUUUUUAGUGAUUUAGCUUCUUUGAACCACAGCCUGUUCCCAAUGAUGGGGAUAUGUUGUUUGAGCAACACAAUACAAAAGUUCAGAUGAGUAGUUCAGACCUAGCCAUGUAGCUCCUCAGUUUGUUCUUGCUCUCAUACAUUUUGGAAGGCUUUCCUAAUAGAUGGUGUGUGUGAGUGUGAAAGGUAAGUACAUCUUCUCUAAGUCAACAGAUGAACAAUCCAACCAUGACAACUGCCAUUGCAAAAUGUUCACUUUUCGAAUUUUGCCAGAGUUCCAGCCUUACCAUUGUUCCCUUCAUUCUACAAGCAUCAUAGAAGCUUUGGAGAAGACAAUUCUACAUGGAGACACAUGAUCAUCUAAGAAAACACUAAUGAGAAGGAAAAUAUGCAGGCAUCACUGGAGGGGAAAAAAGAAGAGAGAAAGUCUCCAGUAUUUAGAUAGUAUUUAGAUAAUAUGUUCAGAUAAUAUGUGUUACGUAAUGGACUUGAGCAUACAGAAGCAUCAGUAAAGUCAUAUGUAAAUGGUGGAUGGUCAACAUGAUUAUGAUGGACCUGCCACAUAACAAAACUAAAAUAUGCUAAAUAAGAGAUCAUUUCAAACAAAAUAAGAAUUUGUGGAAAUGUAUUUUUAGAUAUCUAAAGACAGACAUGAAUGUCUUCCAUCUGUAUGUCUCAGUUAUAUACAUAAGUAAAAUCUGAACAGAUGAGGCUUUCCUUCCAUUAUGGAAUCAGUAAAAUAUGGAAUUCGUAGGUUGCCACUUAUUCAGGCACAGAAUAGGCUUAGGAUCAACAAAAUGUCAGUAUCAUGAGAGACUUCACAUAGGUAUUGAAGAAAUAUAUCUGUUCAGUAGAUCUUGAAAAGUAAAAACAAGCAAAGAAGGCUGUUGUGCACUAAUAACUAGAGAAAUAUAUUAAAUCUUCAUUAAUGAUUCAAAUGUAUGCAUUCUCUUUGUAAGAUAUCUAUUGAUUAGGUAACAGCUACAAGAUUUUAAGGCUGUUUUGUUUUCUAAUGUAAUUCUCUUUAUUUUGUUGGCUGUAAUAUUUGGAUUACUUUUGUAAAAGAUUCAUCCUGAAACCUUAAAUGAGAAUGAAACACCCUUUUAUGUUUUUGUUCAAUUUUUUUUGAAUAACAUUAAAUAAAAAGGAGCUCAGCGUAAGGAUUUAGAGCUGUAUCAUCAAUUGUCAAAAUUAUGAAUUACUUCUCUGUUUGGAAAAAAGCUAUAGUAGUAAAUAAUAAGGCAUCAACUAGCUAAUAGUAAAACCAAAUGAUAAUCUUUAUUUAAUGGAAAUAUAACCUCUGUUUCCACUUACUUUCACUUGGGAUGUUUUAAUUGCUUUUAAUUUCAAAUGUAUUUUAAAUUGCUUUUUAAUGUCAUGUAUAGUGUAAUUACAUUUUAACGAUCUUUUCUUUGUGUUUUUAUCUAUUUACCAUCUAUUUCCAUUCAUAGUUCACCCAGAAUCUCAGUUCUGGGUGGAAAAGGUGGGAUAUCAAUAAAGCAAACUUUCAUUCUUAUUAGGAUUUCAACCAAUUCUCAGAUUUCAUCCGGAUUUCAGAUUUUAUACAAAUAUCAUCCAUGUGUAUUAUUUUAAAUUGUAUUUACCUUAUAUUAAUAUGUUUGAUUUUAACUUGUUAACUUUUAGUCUAUAUUUUUAGUGUUUUAACUAAAGACAAUUUCAAAAAUUU